Molecule: ribosomal RNA, 253 nt
Filed under: uncultured bacterium
Lineage: Bacteria
Description: partial 16S ribosomal RNA
Rfam family: Bacterial small subunit ribosomal RNA
Source: RNAcentral
GACAGAGGGGGCUAGCGUUGUUCGGAAUUACUGGGCGUAAAGGGCGCGUAGGCGGCUCGUUUAGUCGGGUGUGAAAUCCCGGGGCUCAACCCCGGAACUGCAUUCGAUACUGGCGGGCUAGAGACCGGAAGAGGUGGGUGGAAUACCCAGUGUAGAGGUGAAAUUCGUAGAUAUUGGGUGGAACACCGGUGGCGAAGGCGGCUCACUGGUCCGGUUCUGACGCUGAGGCGCGAAAGCGUGGGGAGCAAACAGG